AUUGAACGCUGGCGGAAUGCUUUACACAUGCAAGUCGAACGGCAGCACGGGGGCAACCCUGGUGGCGAGUUGCGAACGGGUGAGUAAUACAUCGGAACGUGCCCGGUCGUGGGGGAUAACGUAGCGAAAGGUACGCUAAUACCGCAUACGAUCUGAGGAUGAAAGCGGGGGACCUUCGGGCCUCGCGCGUUCGGAUCUGCCGUUGUCAGAUUAGGUAGUUGGUGGGGUAAAGGCCUACCAAGCCGACGAUCUGUAGCUGGUCUGAGAGGACGACCAGCCACACUGGGACUGAGACACGGCCCAGACUCCUACGGGAGGCAGCAGUGGGGAAUCUUGGACAAUGGGCGAAAGCCUGAUCCAGCCAUGCCGCGUGCAGGACGAAGGCCUUCGGGUUGUAAAAUGCUUUUGUAUGGAACGAAAAGGCUCUGGCUAAUACCUGGGGCUCAUGACGGUACCGUAAGAAUAAGCACCGGCUAACUACGUG
This 484-nucleotide ribosomal RNA is filed under the name uncultured bacterium. Its description in RNAcentral is "partial 16S ribosomal RNA". It matches the Rfam family "Bacterial small subunit ribosomal RNA", at positions 30 to 507 of the family's 1533-position model. The record is from RNAcentral.